Molecule: long non-coding RNA, 2108 nt
Filed under: Gadus morhua (Atlantic cod)
Lineage: Eukaryota; Metazoa; Chordata; Actinopteri; Gadiformes; Gadidae
Description: lncRNA (ENSGMOG00000029034.1)
Source: RNAcentral
CACUUCCUGUUUAUGUUUUAUGACGGGUCGUAAACAUAGUAUAAAAAGGGGGCGACGGCUGCUGUAGGGUCCCCGCAUUCAUCAAGUUGUCUGCAGUGUUCUUUUCAAUCAACAUGGACUGCUCAUCAGAAGAAACCCGUAGAUCAGAUAGUGCUAUUUGGUUGUAUAGGGGCCCUCGUACCCCUACACCAUUGUCUUCUCCCGCCAUGGACGACUCUGCGUCGAGCAAUGAGGACAUUGAAAACCAGAUGCCUGAUGGUAUGUCCGUCUUUAGUACGCCUGUGUCUAACUAUGUCAAUAGUUGUGGAGAUGCGGUACUGCUUAAUGCUCCACUCAAAAGAACGAGGCCUGUUUUAGGCUUGAGAGACCGGAGGGCCGGGGAUUCAUUCACCCACGUUGGCGAAUACGGCUUGGAGUAUGUAAUAUCAUGGGUCGAUGGCUGUGUUAUUUUGAAUGUUAAAGAUUGUGCUACAGAGUGGCGGUUGAACGUUCACGAAUGGAAUUUUUUCUUGGAGAAUUUAUGCCCCAUGCUAGACGGCGUCCGGGGUACAUGGCAGGCGGGAACCCAUGUAUUCCAAUGGACCUUUCAGUAUGAAUCGAGGAUUCAUCGCAUGGAUGCAAACUAUCAUACGAAGAGACCACAGGAGUUCAUUUUUUUCAGACGCUGUGUUGAUACAGACGAACUACCACAGUGCUAUGAUAUGCACUGCGUCGGUAGCUCUCCUCUACGCACCAGUGUUUUAGAAGCUGCUGAUUAUUUUGAUAAUGUCUUUUUCAUGCAGUGGGCUGAUUUGUCUGCACUACGUGGAAUUUUUGCAGAGAUUGAUUCUAUGGCUAAGACGAAUGAAGAACCAUGGAGCACAGCUGAUGAUGAAUGCCGAAUGUGCCUGUUUGAGUCGUCUGGGUUUGAUGAUGGGCACAGGUCAAUGAUGAACAUGUGCAAGGUGGGGGUGUGGCUAUGGAGACUGCUGAUUUAAAGGCUGUACAACCCGGACCCCACUGGCUUCAAGAGUAUGCCAUCUAUCUGACCGGAUUGAAUCUGACCUUCCUACACGUCGGAGAGGACAGUGAGCUGGAGGUGGACACUGCUAUGAGAGACGACGGAUGGCCUGUAUCAAUACAGAUCCGUUUAAACCCUGCAUCGCUGGCUGUUCUGCGAUUUACCACGGGGCUCUGUGUGGUGGCCAUCAUCAACCAUCAGAAGCAAGCGGACUGCUGGGGAUGCCAGUGUGAUUGCCCAAGUCAACGACGCCAUUCAUGCCUUCAGGGAGCGACACAUCAUCACUACGAAUCCCACUACCAUGACAUUUGUGUCAUCCUGGACAGACACCCCUUCCUGUUACUUUUAGAAACUGUUCUAAAGAAGACUACAGGGUUGACUGUGUCCCCCGGAAAAAUCUAUGGUGUGGUCGAAUCUUAUCUAUGUGAUUUAAUAUGCAAUACCUAUAAUACCGAAAAACUGGAUUUAAUGACCACCGAAGGUGUGUCCGAUGAACAUCUGCUUCUGAUACAUGAAGCCAUACAAAUGUGGCGUCCUACAUUGUCAUUAGGCAAACCAAAGCCUGCUGGUGGGUGGCGUUUAUAAUGGGGGUGUUUUCUUAUGCGUAUGAUGUGGAUAGCAAGUAUGUAUCAGAUAGACUAUCCGUUUUGAUGUAUGCUGCCAUAGAAAAUGAUACAUAUGUCCAGCAUAAUGCUUAUAUCAAAUGCACGUAUAUGGGUUGGAAUGAUCUGGUCAUGAAAUUCUUGUGUGAUAAACCUACUGAUCAAAUGUUAGCUGAAAUAUUUACCCAUUUCCCCGAUGGCGACUGUUUUACCAUCGGACAUGUCAUGUGUAUAUGUGCUUUUGUAUCGGAUGUCUUGAAGUUGAAUAAUGCCUCAAACGCCGAGGGUAUUAGAACUGCUAGAAUGAUGGCUUGUAAAAUGGUGCAGAAAAAUAAAACUGCAUGUAGGCUUUAUCUGAGAAUUGUUUUGAGUGGACAGACAUUUUAAAUAAAAGGAUGGAUAACUCUGAUCAGUGUUUCAGUAUUCGUUUUUUGUCGCAUGCAUACGACAUGGAUAAACGGCUGCAUAAGACUUAUUAUGAUCCCUCCGGACCAGGGGGUUACGGC